GGCCGAUAGUGCGUUUGUGUGCGCCUGCGCUGGGCGGCGGGACAGGGCGUGUUCCUUGUGGGGAUCCCGUUUUGCCUUAACGGGUUGCAUCUUUCGUCACCUGAGUGUGCCCUGCGGACUUUCCACGGUCACCGUGUCAGCUGCCACCCUCCGCGAAUAUGUCCAAGUCUCUGAAAAAGUUGGUGGAGGAGAGCCGGGAGAAGAACCAGCCGGAAGUGGACAUGAGUGACCGGGGCAUCUCCAACAUGCUGGAUGUCAGCGGGUUGUUCUCCCUAGCUCAUAUCACACAACUGGUCCUCAGCCACAACAAGCUCACAACUGUGCCACCAAACAUAGCAGAACUGAAGAACUUGGAGGUACUUAACUUCUUUAAUAACCAGAUCGAGGAGCUGCCCACACAGAUCAGUAGCCUUCAAAAACUCAAACAUCUGAACCUUGGCAUGAACCGCCUGAGCACCCUGCCUCGGGGAUUUGGCUCACUCCCCGCUCUGGAGGUCUUGGACUUGACUUACAACAACUUGAACGAACACUCCCUUCCUGGCAACUUCUUCUACCUUACCACCCUGCGUGCACUCUAUCUAAGUGACAACGAUUUUGAAAUCCUGCCUUCAGAUAUUGGGAAGCUCACAAAGUUGCAGAUACUCAGCCUCAGGGAUAACGACCUGAUCUCGCUGCCUAAGGAAAUUGGGGAGCUGACCCAGCUUAAAGAGCUCCACAUUCAGGGGAACCGCCUGACCGUUCUGCCCCCAGAACUAGUCCUCUGAUCUCUGCCUCCUGAGUAGCUGAGAUUACAGGUAUGAGCCACUGAGCUCCCAAAUUUUAUAUUCUUUUAAUCAGAAAUAAAAUCAAAGGGAAAGUCUUUUAAUGAUCUUACUAGCUGUACCUAGAAAAACUGACUCUUAACAUCUGCCUGUGGAGUUGUUUCUACUUUGAAGCAAAGGCUUAGUUGGAAAUUACUAAACUAAAUUUGGGAUGAGGACAAUGUAUUAGUUAUUUUGGGGCAGUGAUUAUUUUUAAAGUUAAGAAUAGUAUAUUAGGUAGUAAUAUAAUAAUAGCUAGUAUGUAUUAAGCUCUCGUGUGCAGGCACUAGUGUAUGUAGUCUUCUCUGCAGUAUCUUCUGCAGUCAUUUAAGUAGUAAGCAGAUUUUGUAGAGCUGGAUAACUGAGGCUUAGGGAGGGUUAGUGAUGUCUGUAGGGACAUGGCUAGUGAGUCACAAAAGCAAAACUUGCACCUGAUAGUCUCUCCUUCAUGCCCAGUUCCUGACUGCUGUGAUGGUCUCCUUUCCACCUGUAUGACAGUAGGAAAGAUUCUGCCAGUUUCAACAAAUGCAACACCUGUCCACCCCUCCAAGAUGGCAGCCAAAGGAGAGUGAGAUGGAAGCCUGCAGAGAAAGGCACUUGACGGCACAGGUGUGAACAAGGAGCCUGCAAAGGGACUUUUAAAACACACAGAGAAGUGGGUACAGGUUUUCUGAGGCGAGCAGGAAGAAGGAAGGUGAUUCAAAGAAGCUCGUAUCCUGCAAGAGGAGAAGACUAGUGUUGAUCAAGCAUGUAGGUAGACAUUUAUGCACAGCUUUUCAUUAGACUGCCAACAGCCUUGAGGUGUUGGGGCCUUUCUCCCCAUUUUGGAGGACAAGGAGCAGGAGGCUGUGGGAGGCUGUGAUGUGCCAAGCACAUGUAGAAAGUGAAACCAGGAGUGACUCAUGCCACCUCUUGUGGUCAGCACACCAGGUGAACAAGGGUGUGCUCAGGGCUACUGGCUGCUUUUUUUCUAAUCCCCCUUUUAGGGUCAUAAAGGGGGAUUAUUAGUUUGCAUAAAGAAAUAGGAUUUUUUAUAUAAAUAAUGAAAAAACCUUCUGGAUUAGGUAUUACUGAAGAUACACACCCUAAAAGACAUGAUGAUCAGCCUGUGAAAAGAUUACCAAAUAGCAUGAUGUCCUCAGUCAACAGUUAGAGCACUAAGUGACAAGGACUUUCUUUAUGGACUUGUUAACCCUGUCUCUUGUACAUGCACAAAAUCAAAGUCAACUAAUGGCUCACGUUCUUUAGGCCACUUUCUUUCUAUCUAUCUGUCUGUCUGUCUGUCUAUCUGUCUGUCUAUCUACUAUCUAUCCAUCUAUCUAUCUAAAAAUCUGUCCUACCUGUAGAGGGUUGAAGCAGAGCCUCAUUCAUACUCGGUAGGUGCUCUCCCACUUGAGGCGUGCUCUCAGCCCUUUUGCGUUCAGCUUUGUUUUUAGACAGGGUCUUGUGCUAACUAGCCUUGUAUUGCAACCCUCCCGUCUCAU
This is a non-coding RNA of Castor canadensis (American beaver), 2284 nucleotides long. The record is from RefSeq and is a predicted model, not a curated record. NCBI's taxonomy places the organism in Eukaryota, Metazoa, Chordata, Mammalia, Rodentia, Castoridae.